AUUUGGGAUGCCGGGAGUGAUUAUGUGACUUUCGGGAUCACCGCCGGAGCUCCGGGCUGAGCUUCUACCACUUGAGACCCUGCUGCCACCGUGUUCCACCGCCGUUACCGUCACCGGUGUUUUUGCUCGCGAUUGUCACUUGGGGUUACUGACGGAGCCACUGCCGGGUUGAUAGGGAGCUGCGGCUGCUUCGUUUUGUUAUUUCAGAGUUAGAAUCCGAUUUGCUUAUGCCGCUUGUAGCUGUUUCUGCUUUCGAGAGAGCAAGCCGAGCCGGGUUCUGAUUGCCGGUGAUUUCGGGCAGAGCGAAAAGAGUUCAGUUGACACGUUUGGGUUAAGUUUUGCUUGCCGAGGUAGGGGCGCUUUCCAAAAACUAUGUUUUUAUAUAUUGGAAUUAUUACAUAUGGAUACUGUUGUGAGAUAUUGUGUAUUUGGUGAUUGUAUCUGCCUUAUGUGUUAUUUGAUUGACUCGAGUGAUUAUGGAUGUUGGUUUGGUUGAAUUGUUGUGCGGCUUUGUGAAAUGUAAUGUUUUGAAGUGAUUCUUUAAA
Arachis ipaensis is the source of this 545-nucleotide non-coding RNA. NCBI's taxonomy places the organism in Eukaryota, Viridiplantae, Streptophyta, Magnoliopsida, Fabales, Fabaceae. The record is from RefSeq and is a predicted model, not a curated record.